GACGAAGGAUGCAAGCGUUAUCCGGAUUCAUUGGGUUUAAAGGGAGCGUAGGCGGACCUGUAAGUCAGUGGUGAAAUCUCUUCGCUUAACGAAGAAACUGCCAUUGAUACUGCAGGUCUUGAGUACAGAUGAUGUGGGCGGAAUAUGACAUGUAGUGGUGAAAUACUUAGAUAUGUCAUAGAACACCGAUUGCGAAGGCAGCUCACAAAACUGUAACUGACGCUGAGGCUCGAAAGUGCGGGGAUCAAACAGG
Molecule: ribosomal RNA, 253 nt
Filed under: uncultured bacterium
Lineage: Bacteria
Description: partial 16S ribosomal RNA
Rfam family: Bacterial small subunit ribosomal RNA
Source: RNAcentral